RNAcentral lists this ribosomal RNA (468 nucleotides) under uncultured bacterium. Its description in RNAcentral is "partial 16S ribosomal RNA". It matches the Rfam family "Bacterial small subunit ribosomal RNA", at positions 28 to 507 of the family's 1533-position model. The record is from RNAcentral.
GACGAACGCUGGCGGCGUGCUUAACACAUGCAAGUCGAACGGAAAGGCCCUGCUUUUGUGGGGUGCUCGAGUGGCGAACGGGUGAGUAACACGUGAGUAACCUGCCCUUGACUUUGGGAUAACUUCAGGAAACUGGGGCUAAUACCGGAUAGGAGCUCCUGCUGCAUGGUGGGGGUUGGAAAGUUUCGGCGGUUGGGGAUGGACUCGCGGCUUAUCAGCUUGUUGGUGGGGUAGUGGCUUACCAAGGCUUUGACGGGUAGCCGGCCUGAGAGGGUGACCGGCCAAAUUGGGAACGGGAAUAGGGCCAGACUCCCAAGGGAGGCAGGAGUGGGGAAUAUUGCACCAUGGGCGGAAGGCUGAUGCAGCAAAGGCGCGUGCGGGAUGACGGCCUUCGGGUUGUAAACCGCUUUCGCCUGUGACGAAGCGUGAGUGACGGUAAUGGGUAAAGAAGCACCGGCUAACUACGUG